AUACGUCAUAUAAUUUACAUUUCUAAAAAUUUUUUGUGGAAAAUCCAACCGGGCAUAUAACGUAUAAAAAAUGAAGAGUAUUUAAGACAACGUGAGCUACCAACAAGUCACAGUUUGAAUAUCGAUAACAUCUACAUUGAAACACCACGAUGAAAUUCAUUUCGAUCAUCUUUUUGAUUGUUUUUGCCCUCGUGGCCCUUCAAGAUGAAGCAUUCGCUUGCAUCAAGAACCGUGAUGGUUGCCAGCCAGAUGGAAGUCAAGGGAACUGUUGCUCCGGAUAUUGCCACAAGCAACCUGGAUGGGUUGCUGGUUAUUGCAAAUAAAUAUACUUAAAAUAUCAUCUAAUAAAGUGAAUAUAUUCGAAUAAAUUUUA
Aethina tumida (small hive beetle) is the source of this 373-nucleotide long non-coding RNA. RefSeq lists it as uncharacterized. Lineage: Eukaryota; Metazoa; Arthropoda; Insecta; Coleoptera; Nitidulidae. The transcript has 2 exons. The record is from RefSeq and is a predicted model, not a curated record.